Non-coding RNA from Pelobates cultripes (western spadefoot toad), 387 nucleotides. The record is from the annotation of a GenBank genome assembly. NCBI's taxonomy places the organism in Eukaryota, Metazoa, Chordata, Amphibia, Anura, Pelobatidae.
CGACUGAACACAUUUAGAAAUGCAGGAAAAAAGGCAGUCUAGAAGCUAUUGAUAUCUUUCUUCAAUUUUUUUUUCUACAUUCAUAUCCAUUAGGUUAUUUAAAUACUAAACCAGUGGUAGGUAACCUUCGAUAAUCCAGAUGUUGUGGACUAAAACUGUUUGGGAACUUCUCUAAUUAACAUUUGAAGUACAAACUGACGUAAAUGCAUGUAGUAGUGUUUUCUGCAGAACCAUGGCAAUGUGAGUUCUUUUAGAUUAAUAUUAUUGGUUGGAUAUAGUAAGGACACUAAACUACAUUUUAUCAAUACAAAAUCUAAUUUUGUGUCUUUACUACACUAUGGAAUAGAGGGUCAUACUUGUUACAUAUAUGUCAGAAACAUACCAUUU